GCCGUACUCCAAGUACCAUGAUCUGCUUCAGGGGAGAAGCAAGAUCAGCAGGACACAGUUCUUGCUUUCAAGGAAUUUGUAGACUCAGGACGUGUUAUUAAAUGAACCAUUGCGUGCAGUGUUAUGUGCACUUACGAAAGUCUGUGCAAAACCCAGAAUGUACCUAGGGGAAGGAAUUCUGCCUGGGGAGGUGAAGAGAGCCACCAAGGACAUGCUCUGGAUGACAAAAUGGGAGGCAGGAAGGAACAUCUGGACGAAGGCAGAGACAGAAUCAGUCGAGCUGAUGAAGAUGCUUCCCAGUUUGGCCACCACUGUGCACCCAUGAUCACAUGUGCAGAAGUGAGUUCUACACUGAAGUUGAAGUGAAUUUAGUGGGAACUUCAAAUAAUUGUUUCUCAUUACCAAAAAUAAAUUCCUAUAAGGUGCUACGAAAUGUAAGGAAAUUCAAUAAGGUGAAUUCAGUGUGUGUGUGUGUGUGUGUGUGUUUGGUUAUGCAUGCAAGUGUGUGUUUGACUGCUUAUGCAGAUGUGUAUUUGGGUGUGCAUACCUGUGUGUGUCUGGAUAUUCAUGUAUGUGUGCACUUGGAUGCCCGUGCACGUGUGUGUUUGAGUGCACAUGUAUAUAUAUGGGUGUAGAGACUAGACAGCAAUCAAGGUUUUAUUCCUCAGGAGCUCUCUGCCUGCCUGUUUGUUUGUUUGUUGGGGUUGCUCAUCCUGGAGCUCACUGAACAGGGUAGCUUGGCUGGCCAGCAGGUCCACAGACCCAGCUUUACCUCCCCAGUGGGAUCAUGAGUGCACACCACCAGACCUAGCCUUUACAGGUUCUAGGGAUCAAACCCAGGUCUUAUGCUUGCAAGGCAAAUGCUUUACCAGCAGAGUCUGCACAAACUGUGUGUUUAAAGCGUGUCUUCCCAUGAACAGCAUGGGCUGGUUAUAUCUAGGGAAGACAGAGGACUGACACUUAGGUACACACUCACCUUGCCUUCUUCCUCCCAACUUUGGUGCCUGCAUUAGUCUAACUUUGUCGGCCUUUCCCUAUUCAUUCUCAAGCCACUGUUCUCUUGGUGUCUAACUGCCUCCUGAGUAGAAACCUCGUUCUCACCAGGCACCAGAGAAACAGGAUGUUUCAUUUUGACUCACGCUUGAGAUCACAGGGCUCCACUAUCAAGUCCAUUUUCCAGG
RNAcentral lists this long non-coding RNA (1181 nucleotides) under Cricetulus griseus (Chinese hamster). Its description in RNAcentral is "lncRNA (ENSCGRG00015030595.1)". Lineage: Eukaryota; Metazoa; Chordata; Mammalia; Rodentia; Cricetidae. The record is from RNAcentral.